RNAcentral lists this long non-coding RNA (421 nucleotides) under Setaria viridis. RNAcentral describes it as "long non-coding RNA (SVIR_LNC002575)". Lineage: Eukaryota; Viridiplantae; Streptophyta; Magnoliopsida; Poales; Poaceae. The record is from RNAcentral.
CGAGAUGGGCGGAUCUGUGCACUCCACCACCACCGCCACUGGGCUAGACGGGAGCAGAGCAGAGAGAUUACGGCGCGGCGCGGCGUGGUGUGGAGGAGGAUCCAGGCCAGCACCAGCCGAGCGAGGGAGGGACCGGCACUGGCAGGGCGGCCUCGUGGCCGGCCGUGCUCGUUUUGGAAUUUCUAGUGGCGUGCGCUGUGCGAGAGUGCGUGCGCGGCGUGGGGGCGGUUGGCGGGUCGAUCGCAGCCACCUUCCGACGGUCGGUCGCCCCCUUCUCCCUCUGCCCUCACCGCACUUGCUUCGCCUUCAAAUGUUCACGCCGCCACGUCCACGCGUCUUUACUUCCUCUGCACUACUGCCUGCUGCGGCUGGUUCAGCUGCCACUGCCAGUGCCAGGUGAACGAGCUCGCGAGCUCGCGUC